Long non-coding RNA from Heteronotia binoei (common prickly gecko), 717 nucleotides. RefSeq lists it as uncharacterized. Lineage: Eukaryota; Metazoa; Chordata; Lepidosauria; Squamata; Gekkonidae. The record is from RefSeq and is a predicted model, not a curated record. The transcript has 2 exons.
AGCAACCUAAUUCUGGUAAUGCAAACUGGACAGCGCUAGACUUGGCACGAGGCACAAAUGGCAAGAGACUACUAGUACUUGAAUCUCAUUUGACCAGGUCUGAAAGGUCCAUCGUGAAAGGGACUCGGCAACACCAUGAGUGGGACCUGUUGAUGGUGGUGAAUGCUUGUUUGCCUCUCCCAGUGUGACAUUUCUUUAUGUUUGUAAGCUUACCAGGAAUGGAAAAUUGUUCAUUUCUCCCAUUUCAACAGAAAAAGCUGUAUUUCCAACAAAAUCUCAAACAUAUAUAAACACUGCUGUUCAACAACAGGUAUAUAAUGAAGCACCACAGUGCAUUGAUGCAGUCCAGUACAGAGGCCUGGCUGAUAAUAUACCCCUUCAUUGUAUGGCAGUGGCUUGCAAUGUAACCUUCAGAAUGGACACAGAGGACUUGCUACUAUAAUGCUUUGGAUGGUUCAUUCCCAGCAGAUUUUACACCCUUCUGGGACAGCUGAUAUUUAGGCUCUUCAGUUGUUACGUGAUGAACUUGUAAAAUAGAAAGGUUAUAUACAUUUUCAGAGAAGCCACAAACAGCAUCUUCAGUUUAAUUAUAAGAAAGCACAUUUUAAAAAAAUACAGCCGAUCUGUUUACUCCAAAUGGGUUAAACUAUCUUUAAAAAAAAAAGUCUGUAAAAUAUUUUUGCACAACCAUCUACAUCCAUCCAUGAUAAAAAAUAA